UGGGGAAUAUUGGACAAUGGACCAAGAGUCUGAUCCAGCAAUUCUGUGUGCACGAUGAAGUUUUUCGGAAUGUAAAGUGCUUUCAGUUGGGAAGAAAAAAUGACGGUACCAACAGAAGAAGUGACGGCUAAAUACGUGCCAGCAGCCGCGGUAAUACGUAUGUCACGAGCGUUAUCCGGAUUUAUUGGGCGUAAAGCGUGUCUAGGUGGUUAUGUAAGUCUGAUGUGAAAAUGCAGGGCUCAACUCUGUAUUGCGUUGGAAACUGUAUAACUAGAGUACUGGAGAGGUAAGCGGAACUACAAGUGUAGAGGUGAAAUUCGUAGAUAUUUGUAGGAAUGCCGAUGGGGAAGCCAGCUUACUGGACAGAUACUGACGCUGAAGCGCGAAAGCGUGGGUAGCAAACAGGAUUAGAUACCCUGGUAGUCCACGCCGUAAACGAUGAUUACUAGGUGUUGGGGGUCGAACCUCAGCGCCCAAGCAAACGCGAUAAGUAAUCCGCCUGGGGAGUACGUACGCAAGUAUG
Molecule: ribosomal RNA, 523 nt
Filed under: uncultured bacterium
Lineage: Bacteria
Description: bacterial SSU rRNA
Rfam family: Bacterial small subunit ribosomal RNA
Source: RNAcentral